This is a long non-coding RNA of Lemur catta (Ring-tailed lemur), 1296 nucleotides long. RefSeq lists it as uncharacterized. NCBI's taxonomy places the organism in Eukaryota, Metazoa, Chordata, Mammalia, Primates, Lemuridae. The transcript is spliced from 3 exons. The record is from RefSeq and is a predicted model, not a curated record.
ACUGCUUAUCACACACACAGCGUUGGCAGGUUCCUGCAACUGCUGUGUACACCAGGCAGAAAUGCAGUGCUGAUCUCUGCGAGGCACGCAUUCUUAGGCUCAUGGGCAUGAGUGUGCUGACCUGGCUGUCGGGGAAGUAGAUCCCUGCCUGGGGAAGCCAAGGGCCAUCUGUCCAUCUGAAACUGUCGUUGGUUGCACAGUUGUGAAUCCAGGUGACAAUCAAAAUGAAGAAGUGAUGAGAAUCCAAGUUAAAGAAUACUAUUUUCUGAAUCUUCUUCUCCACCUGCCCUAUGUUAUCAUCACCUUUUGUUGCUGCUGCUGCUGUACGAGCCCUGAAGGAACAUGAGAUGGCUUUCCUCAAAUAACUGGGAUUUAAAUUCAGUUCAUAUCUCUUAAGUGAAGUGGGUAUGGCCAAAAAGGACUCACUGCCCUGGGGUGCCUGGAAGCAUUAUCAGCAAAGGCAUUCCCCUCAGGAGAAAACAAGCACAGACAUCUCACGUGGGCCCACCUUUCCAACCUUCUCCUGGACUCUAGGAGCCUUCUCUGAGCCAGAGGUCUCUCUGAAGUCACUGUCAGACCAUUUUGUGCUGUUUAGGAACGGCUGAAGUCCUUAUAAAUCCCAGAUGGGAUGGGAAGAAAACUACAUUGAAUUGAUGAUUUCCAUGAUCUCUAAAAUUCAACCCAGUAUUUCUUAAGAUUAAUGGAUGUGACAUUAAUAACGCAUAUGACAGGUCCAGUGUGGGGUCAAUUCAGGGGGAAUUUGUGACCAAAAUAUCAAAAGGUGCUCAUUACAAUACAGUUUCACUGAGGGGGAUGCCCCCAGUAAGGCCUGUGCCGCAGAAGCUGCAGGACCUCCACAAGGCCAGCACCCCGGGCCAUUGCUUCUGAUGGUCUUUUUUUUUUUUAAUUUUUUUUCUCUGAUGCUCUGGUCUUUUAACUAGAAGGAUGGCUAGCUGCCGUUUGCUACAGGCAUCUCCUGCCCCAGGAACUGUGCAUAUAUGUGGUAUCUGAUACCUUUAAUACUCACAGGUAUGCAAGGUAGGAGCUAGGUGCAUUUUUUGUUUUGUAAGAUUAGGAACCAGAGAAUGGAAGAUAGGCUGUGAAGAGCAGGAGAGGGGUAAUGGGAGAGAUUGGUCAGUGGGUACAAAGUUACAGUUAAGUAGGAGGAAUAAGUUCUGGUGUUAACCAUUGGCACAGUAGGAUGCCUACGGUUAACAAUAUCAUAUUGUAUAUUUCAAAAUAGCUAGAAGAGAGAAUUUUGAAUGUUCUCACCGCAGAGAAAUGACAAAUAUGUGA